Molecule: long non-coding RNA, 429 nt
Organism: Panicum virgatum (switchgrass)
Lineage: Eukaryota; Viridiplantae; Streptophyta; Magnoliopsida; Poales; Poaceae
Exons: 3
Source: RefSeq, a predicted model, not a curated record
UUCCGAUCCGCUUCGCCCCUCCGCGUACAUUGCAGCGCAGCGUAGUUUGCGGGGCGAUCCGUGCACUGGUUGGAUCGGAUUGGUGACGCCAUUGGUCGGCGCUUCGCAGGUCCUGAUCGGAAGCGGAACCCGUGGCGUGGUAGGAUCGGAUCGGAGGUGGACGACGGAGGGUCUGCCGCCUCUGGCCGAUCGCGCGGCUAUAUCAUCAAUUAAACCCUGAUGCGUUGUGAUAUUAUUGGACCCGCAGCGGCAGCGAAAAGAUUCACGGCGCCCUCAUCCAGUCCAACCGGUUCUUGAACAAUUGAAUUAAACUCAAUUGACGGCGAGAUGGGAUUAUAGGCGCGGGCAUAGGCGUGUAGCGGUGAUCCCCUAGGGUUUCCUUGCUGGCCGGAGGAAACUCUAGGGAUCUUUCUCUUUUUUCUCCAUGGU